Long non-coding RNA from Clupea harengus (Atlantic herring), 263 nucleotides. RefSeq lists it as uncharacterized. Lineage: Eukaryota; Metazoa; Chordata; Actinopteri; Clupeiformes; Clupeidae. The record is from RefSeq and is a predicted model, not a curated record.
UUUGUAGGAGCUGGGUCGGGUGGAUAUUUCCUAGGAAGAAAGAGGUUUAUCUUCCUGAUGACACUUACAAAUCUAUUUUUUGGGAUGAGUCUAAGCAGCGAUGGGUGGAUCACAAUGAACCAGAGGAAGAGGAACCUGGAACAGAUAUAUUGAUGUGAUGAACACAGGUGGAUACAUCACUAAGCCUGGGGUGUCUGUUCCUCCACCAACCAUGUUGGCCCUGCUGCCUCAUGUGGACAUGACAGGAAGUAAAUUCCACCCAG